RNAcentral lists this ribosomal RNA (431 nucleotides) under uncultured bacterium. RNAcentral's name for it is "bacterial SSU rRNA". It matches the Rfam family "Bacterial small subunit ribosomal RNA", at positions 355 to 775 of the family's 1533-position model. The record is from RNAcentral.
UGAGGAAUAUUCCACAAUGGGCGAAAGCCUGAUGGAGCGACGCCGCGUGGAGGAAGAAGCCUUUCGGGGUGUAAACUCCUUUUGUCGGGGAUGACACACAGCCAACCCGCAAGGGAAGGUUGUUAGGACAGUACCUGGCGAAUAAGCAUCGGCUAACUACGUGCCAGCAGCCGCGGUAAUACGUAGGAUGCAAGCGUUGUCCGGAUUUACUGGGCGUAAAGCGCGCGCAGGCGGCAGUACAAGUCACUUGUGAAAUCUCAGAGCUUAACUCUGAACGGUCAAGUGAUACUGUCGUGCUAGAGUGCAGAAGGGGCAACUGGAAUUCUCGGUGUAGCGGUGAAAUGCGUAGAUAUCGAGAGGAACACCUGCGGCGAAGGCGGGUUGCUGGGCUGACACUGACGCUGAUGCGCGAAAGCCAGGGGAGCGAACGG